This 205-nucleotide ribosomal RNA is filed under the name Staphylococcus epidermidis. RNAcentral describes it as "partial 16S ribosomal RNA". It matches the Rfam family "Bacterial small subunit ribosomal RNA", at positions 826 to 1028 of the family's 1533-position model. Lineage: Bacteria; Bacillati; Bacillota; Bacilli; Caryophanales; Staphylococcaceae. The record is from RNAcentral.
GGGGUUUCCGACCCUUAGUGCUGCAGCUAACGCAUUAAGCACUCCGCCUGGGGAGUACGACCGCAAGGUUGAAACUCAAAGGACUUGACGGGGACCCGCACAAGCGGUGGAGCAUGUGGUUUAAUUCGAAGCAACGCGAAGAACCUUACCAAAUCUUGACAUCCUCUGACCCCUCUAGAGAUAGAGUUUUCCCCUUCGGGGGACA